RNAcentral lists this long non-coding RNA (235 nucleotides) under Carica papaya (papaya). Its description in RNAcentral is "long non-coding RNA (CPAP_LNC006663)". The record is from RNAcentral. Lineage: Eukaryota; Viridiplantae; Streptophyta; Magnoliopsida; Brassicales; Caricaceae.
AAGUUGUGCCACGUCAGCACCCCGUCAGCAGCCAUGUCAGCGGUCUGGUCAGCAGCCCCAGCCAACCAGGACGCACCACGUGGCAAGGAAACACUGACCAGGGGACGGGCCACGUGGGCGAUCCGUGUGCGCGCGAUCGGACGGCCUAGAUCCGUUCCUGUGCGUAUGGACGGCCCAGAUUCAAUCAGGCACGGACGACCCAGAUUGCAUCGCAAUGGACGGCCCAGAUUUAAUC